RNAcentral lists this unclassified non-coding RNA (139 nucleotides) under soil metagenome. RNAcentral describes it as "partial internal transcribed spacer 1". The record is from RNAcentral.
CUGAGUACUACACUCUCUACCCUUUGUGAACUAUUAUACCUGUUGCUUCGGCGGCGCCCGCGAGGGUGCCCGCCGGUCUCAUCAGAAUCUCUGUUUUCGAACCCGACGAUACUUCUGAGUGUUCUUAGCGAACUGUCAA